This 1482-nucleotide ribosomal RNA is filed under the name Parasynechococcus marenigrum WH 8102. RNAcentral describes it as "Synechococcus sp. WH 8102 Bacterial small subunit ribosomal RNA". It matches the Rfam family "Bacterial small subunit ribosomal RNA". The record is from Rfam by way of RNAcentral. Lineage: Bacteria; Bacillati; Cyanobacteriota; Cyanophyceae; Synechococcales; Prochlorococcaceae.
ACAACGGAGAGUUUGAUCCUGGCUCAGGAUGAACGCUGGCGGCGUGCUUAACACAUGCAAGUCGAACGAACCUUCGGGUUAGUGGCGGACGGGUGAGUAACGCGUGAGAAUCUGCCCUCAGGAGGGGGAUAACGGUUGGAAACGACCGCUAAUACCCCAUAUGCCGCGAGGUGAAAUGAAUUUCGCCUGAGGAUGAGCUCGCGUCUGAUUAGCUAGUUGGUGGGGUAAAGGCCUACCAAGGCAUCGAUCAGUAGCUGGUCUGAGAGGAUGAUCAGCCACACUGGGACUGAGACACGGCCCAGACUCCUACGGGAGGCAGCAGUGGGGAAUUUUCCGCAAUGGGCGAAAGCCUGACGGAGCAACGCCGCGUGAGGGAUGAAGGCCUCUGGGCUGUAAACCUCUUUUAUCAAGGAAGAAGAUCUGACGGUACUUGAUGAAUAAGCCACGGCUAAUUCCGUGCCAGCAGCCGCGGUAAUACGGGAGUGGCAAGCGUUAUCCGGAAUUAUUGGGCGUAAAGCGUCCGCAGGCGGCCCUUCAAGUCUGCUGUUAAAGAGUGGAGCUUAACUCCAUCAUGGCAGUGGAAACUGUUGGGCUUGAGUGUGGUAGGGGCAGAGGGAAUUCCCGGUGUAGCGGUGAAAUGCGUAGAUAUCGGGAAGAACACCAGUGGCGAAGGCGCUCUGCUGGGCCAUCACUGACGCUCAUGGACGAAAGCCAGGGGAGCGAAAGGGAUUAGAUACCCCUGUAGUCCUGGCCGUAAACGAUGAACACUAGGUGUCGGGGGAAUCGACCCCCUCGGUGUCGUAGCCAACGCGUUAAGUGUUCCGCCUGGGGAGUACGCACGCAAGUGUGAAACUCAAAGGAAUUGACGGGGGCCCGCACAAGCGGUGGAGUAUGUGGUUUAAUUCGAUGCACGCGAAGAACCUUACCAGGGUUUGACAUCCUGCGAAUCUCUUGGAAACGAGAGAGUGCCUUCGGGAACGCAGUGACAGGUGGUGCAUGGCUGUCGUCAGCUCGUGUCGUGAGAUGUUGGGUUAAGUCCCGCACGAGCGCAACCCACGUCUUUAGUUGCCAGCAUUUAGUUGGGCACUCUAGAGAGACCGCCGGUGAUAAACCGGAGGAAGGUGUGGAUGACGUCAAGUCAUCAUGCCCCUUACAUCCUGGGCUACACACGUACUACAAUGCUACGGACAAAGGGCAGCAAGUUCGCGAGGACAAGCAAAUCCCAUAAACCGUGGCUCAGUUCAGAUCGUAGGCUGCAACUCGCCUACGUGAAGGAGGAAUCGCUAGUAAUCGCAGGUCAGCAUACUGCGGUGAAUACGUUCCCGGGCCUUGUACACACCGCCCGUCACACCAUGGAAGUUGGCCACGCCCGAAGCCGUUACUCCAACCCUCGGGAGGAGGACGUCGAAGGUGGGGCUGAUGACUGGGGUGAAGUCGUAACAAGGUAUCCGUACCGGAAGGUGCGGAUGGAUCACCUCCUAA